AGAGAGAGACAUGCGCGCAUAUCAAUAAGCGGAGGAAAAGAAACUAACAAGGAUUCCCCUAGUAACGGCGAGUGAAGCGGGAAGAGCUCAAAUUUGAAAUCUUAAAGGGUUUCCCUUUACGAAUUGUAGUUUAAAGAAGUGUUUUCUGUUGAGGUUUUGGUAAAAGUUCUUUGGAAUAGGACAUUCAUAGAGGGUGAGAAUCCCGUAUUUGACCUUUACUUUCAACUUUGUGAUACACUUUCAAAGAGUCGGAUUGUUUGGGAAUGCAGUCCAAAAUGGGUGGUAAAUUUCAUCUAAAGCUAAAUAUUGGCGAGAGACCGAUAGCGAACAAGUACCGUGAGGGAAAGAUGAAAAGAACUUUGAAAAGAGAGUUAAACAGUACGUGAAAUUGUCAAAAGGGAAGCGUUUGACGCCAGUGUUGUUUUUCUGAAAAUCAAUUAAAGAACUGUUUAUGCUAAGUUGUUUAGACUUUAUCAGCUAACUGUUUAGUUUUGAGCUUUUCUUUAAUGCACUUUUCAGUUAACAAGUCAACAUCAAUUUCUUUUGCUGUAAAAAAGCUUGAGGAAGGUGGCUUGAGAUUCGUCUUAAGUGUUUAUAGCCUCUUGCCUAUGCAGUCGGAGAGAUUGAGGUCUGCAGCGUAGAUCCUUCGGGGCUAAAUGCAUUUGUGCUAAGUUAUAACAUUUUAUAGACAACUUGUUGACUAUGAUUUGUCUUGUAGCUUACUCGCUUAUGUUAUUUUACCUACGCUUAGGAUGUUGACGCAUGAGAUAUACGC
This 775-nucleotide ribosomal RNA is filed under the name uncultured Neocallimastigales. RNAcentral's name for it is "partial large subunit ribosomal RNA". It matches the Rfam family "Eukaryotic large subunit ribosomal RNA", at positions 23 to 646 of the family's 3401-position model. The record is from RNAcentral. Lineage: Eukaryota; Fungi; Neocallimastigomycota; Neocallimastigomycetes; Neocallimastigales.